Molecule: long non-coding RNA, 472 nt
Filed under: Mus spicilegus (steppe mouse)
Lineage: Eukaryota; Metazoa; Chordata; Mammalia; Rodentia; Muridae
Description: lncRNA (ENSMSIG00000015473.1)
Source: RNAcentral
GUCUGAUGGAGAAAGAAGCUAUGACCUAAUGAUAACAACUGUCAGAAAAUAUGUACACCAAAUACAGAUAAGACUGAUAGUUCUAAGAAGAGUUUUGAGGCCAAGUUCCACUGAUAACUCUCUUCCCAAAUACAAACUGGAGAUUGUAAAGGAUGCAUGGCUUACCAAAGCAAGCUCCAAGUGUAUACGCAAAGACAAACCACAAUGUCAACCAAUUGGACCUCACUUAAGGAACCUAGGGGAUCGAUUUGUAAAGCAAAGAAUGAACAGGACCCUAUUUCUGAGGCAGUUGGGCCCUGUUAAAUAAUAAAAUACAACAGUGGAGGACUGUGGAGAAACCUCUGUAGGUAAAGUGCUUGUCAGGUAAGCAUGAGGAGGCAAGUCCAUUUCCAGAACCCGCAUAAAAAGUGAGAUAUGGUAGCAUAUGUUGGCUUGUGCUUGUAACCAUAGAGCUGAGGCGAUACAAACAAAU